UUCCGCUCGUUCGGUUUCUCCGCAAGCACCUUGUUUUCUAUUUUUCUUAAUUUUUUUGAGAUUUUUUAGGAUUUUCAUUUGAUUCAAAAUAUCCUCCAGCACUUCCUCCUCUAGCAGUUCUAGAAGUUCGUCAACUCCAGCCCCCCAAAAUCCUAGUACCGUAGAUGAACCCGCACUUAGGAUCGAACCUUGUUCGAUCUUUGUACCAGACACCAUUCCCAGCUCUUUGA
This 230-nucleotide long non-coding RNA is filed under the name Elaeis guineensis (African oil palm). RNAcentral's name for it is "long non-coding RNA (EGUI_LNC070058)". Lineage: Eukaryota; Viridiplantae; Streptophyta; Magnoliopsida; Arecales; Arecaceae. The record is from RNAcentral.